Molecule: ribosomal RNA, 429 nt
Filed under: uncultured archaeon
Lineage: Archaea
Description: bacterial SSU rRNA
Rfam family: Archaeal small subunit ribosomal RNA
Source: RNAcentral
AACCAGCUCUUCAAGUGGUCGGGAUGAUUAUUGGGCUUAAAGUGUCCGUAGCCGGUUUAGUAAGUUCCUGGUAAAAUCAGGUAGCUUAACUAUCUGUAUGCUAGGAACACUACUAUACUAGAGGGCGGGAGAGGUCUGAGGUACUAUAGGGGUAGGGGUGAAAUCUUAUAAUCCUUGUAGGACCACCAGUGGCGAAGGCGUCAGACUGGAACGUGCCUGACGGUGAGGGACGAAAGCCAGGGGAGCGAACCGGAUUAGAUACCCGGGUAGUCCUGGCCGUAAACGAUGCAUACUAGGUGAUGGCCCGGCCAUGAGCCGUGUCAGUGCCGUAGGGAAACCGUUAAGUGUGCCGCCUGGGAAGUACGGUCGCAAGGCUAAAACUUAAAGGAAUUGGCGGGGGAGCACCACAAGGGGUGAAGCCUGCGGUUC